UACAGUUUGAUCCUGGCUCUAACUAACGUUGGCGGCGUGGAUUAGGCAUGCAAGUCGAACGAAUCCCGGGGGGCAACUCCCGGGGGAAGUGGCGAAAGGGGCAGUAAGGCGUGGGUAACCUACCCCGGGGACGGGCAUAGCCCUCCUAACGGAGGGGUAAUUCCCGGCGAGGUGGCGGGGUCGCAUGGUCCUGCCAUGAAACGAGUUUCGCCUCGGGAGGGGCUCACGUGGUAUUAGCUUGUUGGCGGGGUAACGGCCCACCAAGGCCGAAAUGCCUAGCGGGUUGUGAGACUCGACCCGCGCCACUGGCACUGAAGACACUGGCCCGACUCCUUACGGGAGGUUGCAGUCGAGGGAUCUUCCGGAAGGGGCGCAAGCCUGACCGAGCGACGCCGCGAUGGGCAUGAAGGCCUUCGGGUGGAUAACCACUGCCGAGGGGGAGAAAGCCCGCAAGGGUCACCUAUCCCGGUGGAAGCACGGUUAAUUCGGGCUCACCGCGUAAAACAACCGGGCCGACUUUUUCGGAUUCUUGGCUUAAAGGCCCGAGGCGUCGGCCAGUCGGGGGAAAUCUUCCGCUCACCGGAAAGCCCCCACUGCGGCUUAAGAAACAGGGCAUGCGACUCCGGUGGACGUAAUGUAAAUUCGAAGGAGCGUGCAACCGUGUCUGAUUUCUCUGCCUAGGCGAUCAGGACAACGAUAAUCCCGAGCGCCUAACAUGACGGUAGGACUGAUGGUUAUGCAACAAUGUAACCACUGAGUCGUCAGCUGACAGAUAGGGUCACACGGGAUGCUAUUCGUACGACUUCUGUUAUGAAAGGAGAAGUGAACUCCACACACACCG
This 841-nucleotide ribosomal RNA is filed under the name uncultured soil bacterium. Its description in RNAcentral is "partial small subunit ribosomal RNA". The stretch from base 3 to 543 matches the Rfam family "Bacterial small subunit ribosomal RNA", at positions 9 to 873 of the family's 1533-position model. The record is from RNAcentral.